This 425-nucleotide ribosomal RNA is filed under the name uncultured bacterium. RNAcentral's name for it is "bacterial SSU rRNA". It matches the Rfam family "Bacterial small subunit ribosomal RNA", at positions 346 to 787 of the family's 1533-position model. The record is from RNAcentral.
UGGCUGCAGUCGAGAAUUUUGGGCAAUGGACGAAAGUCUGACCCAGCAAUGCCGCGUGCGGGAUGAAGGUCUUCGGAUUGUAAACCGCUGUCGAGGGGGACGAAUUUUGACGGUACCCCUGGAGGAAGCCACGGCUAACUACGUGCCAGCAGCCGCGGUAAUACGUAGGUGGCGAGCGUUGUUCGGAUUUAUUGGGCGUAAAGGGUCCGCAGGGGGUUGAUUAAGUCUGACGUGAAAUCCCUGAGCUCAACUCAGGAAUGGCGUUGGAGACUGGUUGACUGGAGUAUUGGAGAGGUAAUUGGAAUUCCAGGUGUAGCGGUGGAAUGCGUAGAUAUCUGGAAGAACAUCGAAAGCGAAGGCAGAUUACUGGACAAUGACUGACCCUCAGGGACGAAAGCAUGGGGAGCAAACAGGAUUAGAUACCC